RNAcentral lists this long non-coding RNA (211 nucleotides) under Manihot esculenta (cassava). Its description in RNAcentral is "long non-coding RNA (MESC_LNC011992)". The record is from RNAcentral. Lineage: Eukaryota; Viridiplantae; Streptophyta; Magnoliopsida; Malpighiales; Euphorbiaceae.
AGAUUUUAGCAAUCGCCAGGAACCGUGCGGCACUUGACUUGAACACCUUCAAGCCAAGUCAGCCUUAAGAAUCACCCAAUAUCCUGUGAACAUGAAUACCCUGAUUAGUCAAUGUUAUAUAAACGAACAACGAAGCCAACAGACAGCAUUCCAUCAGAAGCCUCACAGUAGGUACAAAAGAUAAGAACUGAACAUGGAAAUUCAUGAACAG